CACCUUCGACCUCUUAACGAAAACUUCGCAAUUACCAGAGAUCCGUCCGUCGGAUUUUCGAUCUGACGGGACCAUUGCGUUCAGCACGUCGGGGGCAUCAAAACUACAAUCUUAUUUCAUCAAAUUUGGUCACGGAUUCGCGACGGAACCCAUCCGCUCUCUAAUUAAUCCAUAUAUCGCACAUAUACCAAUGUGUAAACCCAUUAAACCAACUUUCGCAUUAGAAAUUGACUUCCCUACCACUAGUAGGGACCUGAAACAUUCUUCACCCUACUCCAGGUCACAAGCACGGAGCACGAGGAGCUUAAAUAUGCAAGAACAGUCAAGAACGGAAGUCCUCUUUUCGGUAAAAUCCCUUUUUCUCGGAAACCGUGCAUCAGAUCUGGAAUCCGUCAGUGCCAUUGGUUCCAGAAUAGCUGAACCAACCAAAACGAGCUAUUGGAUCGCUAUGAACGGAGUCCGAUACGCGCCGAAAGCCAACUCUACUCCGUGGCUUCUCCGAAAAAUCGGAGUUACUAUUCACUUUAAGUGAUUAGUUUUAAUCGCGUAACUUCUCCGUUCUAGCUCAUUUUCUCCUGAAACUUGACGAGUGCUUAUGUAAUUAAAUUACACACAUAAACAUCAUCAACAGAGAGUUUGUUUGCACUGUAAAAAUCUCAGUCCUUACAGAUCUCCUUAUACUUUUUGAUACUCUAAACUAAUUUCUAAAUAACGAGAUUUCUGUACCUGUGGGUAUAAGAAAAAUCGCUAUCUAGAAAUUCAAUCCACUAUCAUAUUUCAGUCAAAAUUCAGAGAAUUAUUACUUUAUUUGACUACAAUAAAUAGGCAAACUUUAAUUCAAUAUCAGUAAAUCCUUAUUUAUUCUUCAUUAUUUAUAGUAUGUUGUGGCUAUUCCUAAGCAUAAUGAAAAUACAAUAACCUUUAUUUGAUAUUGAAUUACUAUUAAAAUUAAAUUAGGAAUCUGUAUGAAUUUUUUGAGUUAACCUUAGUUUAAUAUCAUCUCAUAAAAAUUAUCGUAAGUAAUCAUAUAUCAUGACUAGGUUGCGGUAGCUACUCUUAGACAUAAUUGAUCACACAAAUCUUUAUAUGAUAUUGAAUGACUCAAAAUUUUAUAUUAUUCCAAGACGUAGCGAAAAUAAAAAAAAAACUAAAAUAUUUUUUUAACAAUCUCAUGUGACUCAAAAUUUAUAAACUAUAUGAAGUCUGUAUACGCUACUCUAAUUUUCAUAAUCACCUUAUGUGUGUUUAGAAUAAUAAUGCGAAAAAUAUAACAUAAAAAUUAAACUAAGCACACUCCUUUAUAGUCAUGAAUAAAUAAAUUAAUGAGUAGUACAAAAAUCAUAUAUAAUAAAUACCAAACGUUAUAUAUGAUUUUAAUAUAUAGACUUCUUCAAAAACGAGUCAUGUUACAAGAAAAUUAUGAACCAAAUCUCUCUCUCUCUCUCUCUCUCUCUAUAUAUAUAUAUAUAUAAAACUUGGCUAGAAUACUAUCAAUAGCACCAAGUUGUUGGUGCUAUUGAUUUUUUAGCCAUUGGAUUGAGAAAUAUGCGGUUAGGAUGAUGUGGGCUCCCUAGGGUUGAGUGGGUGGUUGGUUGAAUAGUAUAAUCUAACGGGUAAAAAUAAUCAAAGAGAUUAAUCUAGUAACACACAAAUGAAAGUGUUGCUGAAUAUAUAAAUUCACCAACAUUAUAUAAUAAAUGUUGCUAAAGGUUAUAAUUACCAGCAUAUAUUAUUAUAUGUCGCAAUAAAAAUUAAUAUUUAAAACUUAUAUACAAACAUAAUUAUAAAAUAAUUAUGAAAAUAACAAAAAUAUAAAAAAUGUUGGUAGUUAAU
This 1833-nucleotide long non-coding RNA is filed under the name Ananas comosus (pineapple). RNAcentral describes it as "long non-coding RNA (ACOM_LNC041697)". The record is from RNAcentral. Lineage: Eukaryota; Viridiplantae; Streptophyta; Magnoliopsida; Poales; Bromeliaceae.